GGCUCACACCUGGGGGGCCCUGACAAGGGGCUGAGAGGCUGCUGGCAUCUUCCAUGAGGGAAGUGCAGCGCAGCGACCCGUCGAACCUGAUCCAGUUCACACUGGCGGAGGGAUGGUGCCGUGUCUGACGU
This 131-nucleotide non-coding RNA is filed under the name Gluconobacter morbifer. RNAcentral describes it as "TPP sequence". It matches the Rfam family "TPP riboswitch aptamer (THI element)". Rfam says of the family: Vitamin B(1) in its active form thiamin pyrophosphate (TPP) is an essential coenzyme that is synthesised by coupling of pyrimidine and thiazole moieties in bacteria. The previously detected thiamin-regulatory element, thi box was extended, resulting in a new, highly conserved RNA secondary structure, the THI element, which is widely distributed in eubacteria and also occurs in some archaea. RNAcentral also lists the same sequence under 1 other name. The record is from RNAcentral. Lineage: Bacteria; Pseudomonadati; Pseudomonadota; Alphaproteobacteria; Acetobacterales; Acetobacteraceae.